UAAGGAAUAUUGGUCAAUGGACGCAAGUCUGAACAAGCCAUGCCGCGUGAAGGAUUAAGGUCCUCUGGAUUGUAACCUUCUUUUCUUUGGGACGAAAAAGGGUCUUUCUAGACCAACUGACGGUACCAGAUGAAUAAGCACCGGCUAACUCCGUGCCAGCAGCCGCGGUAAUACGGAGGGUGCAAGCGUUAUCCGGAUUCACUGGGUUUAAAGGGUGCGUAGGCGGGUAGGUAAGUCAGUGGUGAAAUCCUGGAGCUCAACUCCAGAACUGCCAUUGAUACUAUUUAUCUUGAAUAUUGUGGAGGUAAGCGGAAUAUGUCAUGUAGCGGUGAAAUGCUUAGAUAUGACAUAGAACACCUAUUGCGAAGGCAGCUUACUAAGCAUAUAUUGACGCUGAGGCCCUAAAUCCUGGGGAUCACUCAGG
Molecule: ribosomal RNA, 424 nt
Filed under: uncultured bacterium
Lineage: Bacteria
Description: bacterial SSU rRNA
Rfam family: Bacterial small subunit ribosomal RNA
Source: RNAcentral